UCUCUCAGGAGUAUGCAAAGAUGCUCUUGUUGUUUUCUCUAGGGCUAUCUCUGGGACAAUAACCAGGCGGUGGUGGAAUGGCUGGAGAAACACUUGCAAGAAGAGGAGGGUUCCCGAUCAGCCAUUCGAGAAAACAUAAAAUAUCUGAAACGGGACUACGCUCUCAGACAUAUCCGGAGCUUGGUUCAAGCAAACCCAGAGGUGGCCCUGGACUGCAUGAUUCACUUGACUCAGCAUAUCACCUGUGCACAGAGGGCCCAGAUCACUCGUCUCUUAUCUACCAUGGAUAAUCCUCCUCCCUUCUUGAUGGAGAGGCCGCAGGUGGGGGUGCCAGGAACAAUCGCUGUAGACAAGGAAGCACACAGAGAGAAACCACUCCUUUGAGACCAGAUGUCUUCUUGCCUGAAUGUAUUCGAACCUAGUGUUGAAGCUUUAGACUCUACUGAUGUCUCUCAGUAAAUGAUGCCAUUGCUGCAUUUUCAGCCAUGAAAAUAGUCUUUCUGUGAACACCGUGUUCAUCCUGGACUUGUGGGGACAAUUUAAAAAAACAAAUCCAUUACAGUGACAUUUUUGUGGGAUUUUAAUUCAACCCAAAUUGACCUUGUCAGCAGCACAACGCUGGUAGGGAUGGGCCCCAGGGUCAUUUUUGUGACUUCCAUUUCAUUAGAAUGAAUGGAGCUGGGAGUAGAAAUCAAACUCUGUAUAAUAGCCAGAAAGAGAAAUAUUUUUGUACUAAUGUUUAUUGUUGCCGACCAUCUGCCAGCAUAAUAAGAAAAUGUUAUUUUUAAUGAACAAGAGAAAACUGUGUGUUGGAAAAACAUUCAAACUAACCACUAGAAAACCAUUGGAGAGCCUCUUUAUUCCCCUGCUACGGCAGUGUUUAGUGGAGGUAAUUAUAAAAUAAUUCUUGGAACAUGGUCAGGGAUUCGAGGGAAGGUUUUGACAGAGCCAUACAUUUCAACUUGUCUUUUUUUCUUUGUGGUCAGGACACCAAGUCUGCAGCUGUUAACACAGUUGUCAGUGCAGGAUUUGUUAAACAGCCCCAGUUCUAACAAGGGAAUGAAAAGGGGCAGAUGAAUUUUCCAUCUCUUC
Molecule: long non-coding RNA, 1092 nt
Filed under: Gopherus agassizii (Agassiz's desert tortoise)
Lineage: Eukaryota; Metazoa; Chordata; Testudines; Testudinidae
Description: lncRNA (ENSGAGG00000005149.1)
Source: RNAcentral